This is a long non-coding RNA of Mya arenaria, 755 nucleotides long. RefSeq lists it as uncharacterized. NCBI's taxonomy places the organism in Eukaryota, Metazoa, Mollusca, Bivalvia, Myida, Myidae. The transcript is spliced from 3 exons. The record is from RefSeq and is a predicted model, not a curated record.
UACAUUGUUGACUUAGAGACACUUGGAUUUAAAUUAAGUAACAAUGAGACCAGUAAUGGCUGCCGACUCCUCAUUUUUUUCAAAUUUUAAAACGGAUUAACAGCACUUUUCAGGCAGGAAAAUGACUGAAUAUUACUUAGUCAACAACACUGGGUUAUGAAGAAUUCCAGCCUGGAUUAAAUACUAUGUUGGAUCGUUGAGAGCAGAUUUUACAGCCAUGUCUAUCCACAAGGCAGUCGCAUCUGAUAGAAAUGAUCACUAAACAUUCUAGAUGGGUAAAGUACCUGAAGGGGCAUGAAAACCAAAUCAGCAUUGACUCAGCAUUGAGUAGUUAUUAUCUGUGUACACACUUCAAGUACAUAGGCAUGGGAACAGACCAAACUUCAAAUGUUGAAGAGUGAAGAAUUAUUGUGAAAAAAUCUAAAUGUUAAAAUACCAUUGACAAAAUAAAACAGAUAGACAUCAAAUUAUCCACAGAGAGUGUUUACAUGUUAUAAUAUUAAAAUAACAUUAGCUGCGAACUUUCACUCUGACAUUUUGGAGGGGCAUAAUUCCGCCUCCUUUAGUAUUCUUGUUUCUUCACAUAUUUUAGCUUAAAAGUACACUCAUUCUUUUAAACUCUGUAUUCUGAGUUAGAAUCAUAAGUAAAAUUCAUUUAUUUGAAAGAGCACAUUUUAUGAAUAAGUCCAAUUAAGCUUUUUUAGAUUUUUACAAGAAAAAGGUUGAUUUUUAAGCAUUUUAUUAGCUAUAAAACU